GGCGGCGUGCUAAUACAUGCAGUCGAGCGCCUUCACAUUGCCCAUGAGUAAUCUCGUGGUCAGCGUGAAGGAGCGGCGGACGGGUGAGUAACGCGUAGGAAUGUACCCCACAGUGAGGAAUAAGCCAGAGAAAUCUGGUCUAAUACCGCAUACGGUCUUCGGAUUAAAGCCUUCGGGCGCUAUGGGAACAGCCUGCGUAAGAUUAGCUAGUUGGUAAGGUAAAAGCUUACCAAGGCUACGAUCUUUAGCUGGUUUGAGAGGAUGACCAGUCACACUGGAACUGAGACACGGUCCAGACUCCUACGGGAGGCAGCAGUAGGGAAUUUUCCACAAUGGACGAAAGUCUGAUGGAGCAACGCCGCGUGCAGGAUGAAUGCCUUAGGGUUGUAAACUGCUUUUCUGAUCGAAGAUUAUGACGGUAGAUCAGGAAUAAGGAUCGGCUAACUCCGUGCCAGCAGCCGCGGUCAUACGGAGGAUCCAAGCGUUAUUCGGAGUGACUGGGCGUAAAGAGUUGCGUAGGCGGUUUGUUAAGCGAGAUGUGAAAUCCAAGGGCUCAACCCUUGAACUGCAUUUCGAACUGGCAGACUGGAGUAUAUGAGAGGAAGUUGGAAUUCCUAGUGUAGGAGUGAAAUCCGUAGAUAUUAGGAGGAACACCAAUGGCGAAGGCAGACUUCUGGCAUAUUACUGACGCUGAGGCACGAAAGCGUGGGGAGCGAACGGGAUUAGAUACCCCGGUAGUCCACGCCGUAAACGAUGGAUGCUAGCUGUAUGGGGUAUCGACCCCCUGUGUAGCGAAGCUAACGCGUUAAGCAUCCCGCCUGGGGAGUACGGUCGCAAGAUUAAAACUCAAAGGAAUUGACGGGGACCCGCACAAGCGGUGGAGCGUGUGUUUAAUUGGAUGAUAAGCCUANAACCUUACCCAGACUUGACAUCCUGGGAAUUCUUCGAAAGUAAAAAGUGCCUUUGGAACCAAGUGACAGGUGUUGCAUGGCCG
RNAcentral lists this ribosomal RNA (994 nucleotides) under uncultured bacterium. RNAcentral's name for it is "bacterial SSU rRNA". It matches the Rfam family "Bacterial small subunit ribosomal RNA", at positions 38 to 1051 of the family's 1533-position model. The record is from RNAcentral.